This is a long non-coding RNA of Capsicum annuum, 569 nucleotides long. RefSeq lists it as uncharacterized. The record is from RefSeq and is a predicted model, not a curated record. The transcript is spliced from 2 exons. Lineage: Eukaryota; Viridiplantae; Streptophyta; Magnoliopsida; Solanales; Solanaceae.
CAUUCUGCAAACAACAUUUCAAGUGGCUCUCUGGAUCAACACACAUAGUCUUUACUAGUCAUAGGGAUUUUAUUAAUCAUGCAUACAACAAAGGCAUGCUGGCCAAAAGACAAGCGUUCAUCAAAGAAGAAUAUAAGCAAAUUUUGAACUUGCUAAACAAGGACACACAGGAAACUAAACAGGUUAACAUGACAGGACCUCUUGAGUGGCAAGGUGAAGGGGAUCGAUAAGAAAGAUGAUGGUCUGUACAUAUUCAGAAGUGAGCUUGGAAUAAAGAAUUUGCAAAGCACCAAAUGUGACUCAAGAAAGGUAGUUGCAGAAGUAAUAAAACAAGAAAUCUAACUUGUCUCAUAAGAGGCUUGGACAUCUUUCUAUCCAGGUUCUGAAGCAUUUAGAUGUAGUGCAAGGUACUGAAGAACUCAAUGAUUGUUAUGUUUAUCAAUUAGCUAAGCUAACAAGACGUGUAUUCCUUAUCAGUAAGUCUAAAGCAACUGUGAAAUUUGAGGUAGUUUAUAUUGAUAUCUGGGCACCAUAAAAAACACCCGCUGUGGACAACAAACAUUAUUUUU